RNAcentral lists this ribosomal RNA (204 nucleotides) under uncultured bacterium. RNAcentral describes it as "partial 16S ribosomal RNA". It matches the Rfam family "Bacterial small subunit ribosomal RNA", at positions 29 to 263 of the family's 1533-position model. The record is from RNAcentral.
AACGAACGCUGGCGGCAGGCCUAACACAUGCAAGUCGAGCGCCCAGCAAUGGGAGCGGCGGACGGGUGAGUAACACGUGGGAAUAUGCCUUUCGGUUCGGCACAACUCAGGGAAACUUGAGCUAAUUCCGGAUACGCCCUUACGGGAAAGAUUUAUCGCCGAAAGAUUAGCCCGCGUUGGAUUAGCUAGUUGGUGAGGUAACGG